This 253-nucleotide ribosomal RNA is filed under the name uncultured bacterium. Its description in RNAcentral is "partial 16S ribosomal RNA". It matches the Rfam family "Bacterial small subunit ribosomal RNA", at positions 524 to 776 of the family's 1533-position model. The record is from RNAcentral.
UACGUAGGGUGCAAGCGUUGUCCGGAAUUAUUGGGCGUAAAGAGCUUGUAGGCGGUUUGUCGCGUCUGCUGUGAAAUUUCGGGGCUCAACCCCGAACUUGCAGUGGGUACGGGCAGACUAGAGUGUGGUAGGGGAGACUGGAAUUCCUGGUGUAGCGGUGAAAUGCGCAGAUAUCAGGAGGAACACCGAUGGCGAAGGCGGGUCUCUGGGCCGUAACUGACGCUGAGGAGCGAAAGCGUGGGGAGCGAACAGG